This 431-nucleotide ribosomal RNA is filed under the name uncultured bacterium. RNAcentral describes it as "partial 16S ribosomal RNA". It matches the Rfam family "Bacterial small subunit ribosomal RNA", at positions 338 to 795 of the family's 1533-position model. The record is from RNAcentral.
CCUACGGGAGGCUGCAGUAGGGAAUCUUGCGCAAUGGGCGAAAGCCUGACGCAGCGACGCCGCGUGAGGGAUGAAGGCCUUCGGGUUGUAAACCUCUUUCAGCGGGGACGCGGUACCCGCAGAAGAAGGUCCGGCCAACUACGUGCCAGCAGCCGCGGUAAUACGUAGGGACCAAGCGUUGUCCGGAAUUAUUGGGCGUAAAGAGCUCGUAGGCGGCUGUCCACGUCGGGUGUGAAAGCUCAGGGCUCAACCCUGAGAUGCCAUUCGAUACGGGACGGCUAGAGGUAGGUAGGGGAGAUUGGAAUUCCUGGUGUAGCGGUGAAAUGCGCAGAUAUCAGGAGGAACACCGGUGGCGAAGGCGGUCUCUGGGCCUUCCUGACGCUGAGGAGCGAAAGCUGGGGGAGCAAACAGGAUUAGAUACCCUUGUAGUC